This 259-nucleotide ribosomal RNA is filed under the name uncultured prokaryote. RNAcentral describes it as "partial 16S ribosomal RNA". It matches the Rfam family "Bacterial small subunit ribosomal RNA", at positions 524 to 782 of the family's 1533-position model. The record is from RNAcentral.
UACGUAGGUGGCAAGCGUUAUCCGGAUUUACUGGGUGUAAAGGGCGUGUAGGCGGGAUGUCAAGUCAGGUGUGAAAUUCCAGGGCUCAACCCUGGACGUGCACUUGAAACUGAUGUUCUUGAGUGAUGGAGAGGCAAGCGGAAUUCCUAGUGUAGCGGUGAAAUGCGUAGAGAUUAGGAAGAACACCAGUGGCGAAGGCGAUUCUCUGGACUGUAACUGACGCUGAGGCUCGAAAGCGUGGGAAGCAAACAGGAUUAGA